Long non-coding RNA from Cyprinus carpio (common carp), 297 nucleotides. The record is from Ensembl. NCBI's taxonomy places the organism in Eukaryota, Metazoa, Chordata, Actinopteri, Cypriniformes, Cyprinidae.
AUGCAGGACAGGAACAGACUAUUUUUGUUGACAGACUGCAGUAAAGUUACAUGGCUGUCUAAUGAUGACCCUACCAUUGAGUUGGUCACCCUUGGUAAACUCAAUCCGGACAGGUCACAGAGAGAAGGCAGAGUGCGUCUGAUGUCUGACUGUUCUCUACACAUCAGUGUACACAGUCUACACAAGCUGGAGAUAAUGGAUGCUACACUUGCCGUCAGUAUUCAGGUGUGCAAGGAAGCAAAAUUGGAGAGGAUGCCAGAAUUUGCCUGAUUAUUAAUAAAAGUAAGCUAAUGCUCA